Cuculus canorus (common cuckoo) is the source of this 5715-nucleotide long non-coding RNA. RefSeq lists it as uncharacterized. The record is from RefSeq and is a predicted model, not a curated record. The transcript has 3 exons. Lineage: Eukaryota; Metazoa; Chordata; Aves; Cuculiformes; Cuculidae.
CUGUUUUGAAGUUACUCACUUGUCCUUUGACGCAGAAGAGCUGUUAUCCAAGACUUUCAUAGAGAUGUUGGAAGUCAAGUGGGGCAUAAAUUAUAUUAAAAUGUCCAUUUAUUCCAUCAGCCCUUUUUGUGAUCCCUCCCUCCAGCUGAUUGUGCUGUUGGUCAGUACUUCUGUAACUCAAGAUGAUCAGUAUGUAGUCUCUAGAGCAUACCUACCUAACACUGGUUUCAUCCUGUCACUGCUUAGAGAGGCUUGUUUCCACAAGCCAGAGUUGCUAAAAUCAUCUGAAAAUCAUCUGCUGAUGUUAAAAUAAAUUGGAGCAAGCACGUAGACACGUGGUCUCGACAGAGCCAGCCGUGGCAAAGCAAAAUCAAAUCAGGCGGCUUAACUCCGCAACACUUUGAGGUUACGUCGCUGUCAUGUCAGUCCAAACGUAGAAGGCCAUAAAUAGAGAACUUGCACAUUAAAAUGUUUGAUGAGAGUGAAGAGAGGAUGCCCACCAGCACACCUGGAAGAUGCCGUCUUCAGAGUCGUCUUCUUCGCUAUUGGACAGCAGCUCUGGAAUGAGAUACUCAGAGGUUCAUAGGAAGGAGCCAGUAGGGAUCAAAAUGAAGUCUCCUUUCAUUUAAAAGGAAGAGAAAAUGCAGGUCGUGAGAAUCAAGAUAGAAAAGCCGUUUUCCACAUCUCAUUUGAUGCAAACAAAUGGAAGAGCAGUAUCGCCACUUCUUCAGGCUCUCGGAAGACUGAGAAGCUGUGCUUGAGCCGAGCGUGUUGUGGAGGUGAACAGAGGAGAACACACAAAUCAUAUCUUAUGUUUGAUGGUUCACACCUGCUGGUCUGAAGGUGCAAGAGCCAAGACAUAGCUUAGAGUAGCCCUAAAGCUUCUUUAAGUUGUGCUUGGAAAACAAUUGCCUCGCAUGGCUGUUGGAGUGGAAGGGAUCAUUUUAGUGCAUUUAAAGCACGUUCAGUUCACACGAUCUUUUCUGUAAAUAUCCAAGGCAUGCCAUUGUCAGAACCAGUGAUCUGAAUUCUUGAAUCAAGCUUACUUGAAUAAAAUUUCAGAAUUUAACCCUCAUACGUCUUUUUAGUGAUGUCUGAGUAAGUGCAAACUAUAGACGUGUUAGCACGGCGAUACAGUUUGUAACGUGUAAAACUGGUGUGACAGAGAGCAGAGACUCACGGUUGCUUUUCUAUGCUUAGUUAUACACAACAUUGUUUGUAUUUCUGUUGUCUUGGAAGCUCUGUCCUGGAUUUGCGCUCUACUGUGCAAGGUGCUUGACACGUACACUCCGUACAGCUCUCUCUCUCCAGCUGUCGUGCUCAGGGAUAAAUCCUGAUGGUAACAUCACUCCAUUGCCAUAACGGUAACCUUGGGACCUGUUCCUCACAUGGACAGGCUUUGAAAUGAGCUGUUUUGCUGACCUACCGCAACUGGGUACUUAAUAGCUAAAUGCAGAAAAGGUUUUGAUAUGGAUUUUUGUAAUUAAAAUGAAGGAAAUUGCGCCAGAAGGCGUGUCCUAGCAGUUCCACGAAGAAAACCUUUCUCCAAAUGUGUUACCUGAUUUAACAGACAUUUGUCCAGCUGAAGAUGCAAAUCCAAGAAGCAUGAGUGAUGGAGUACAUGACUAGAAGGAAGAUCGUACAUAAAUCAGUUUGUGACUACAAUGUUCUCUGUGUUGUUGCAAUAAAACUAUUCAUUUCUUUGCAGGGAAAGGUAGUAUAUUAUAUUAUAGUAUAUAUGAGGUUAUGCUCUAUCAUAGUGUAUAUAUAUUAUAUUGCAGUUUAUCCGAAGUAAGUUAGCCCGACUGGGAAUGUAUCAGCUAGCAGGAAGUUUAUUCUGAGCACUUAGAUUACUUUGAAUUAAGGGAGUUCAGCUGAAAAGGCUGUUUGAAGCUGUGUGUUCUGUCUGGUGUGUGCAGGAGGAGCACAGAGCUAUUAAGCGGGUGUGAAAUAAGGAGUGUAUUCCCCUGGUUUGGCAUCAUGGUAGUGGGUGAUGCAUUUAUAUUGUUAUAGGUGUGUACUCAAUUCUGACUUUUUGCGGUGAUAACAUCGUUUUGGUAAAGAAAACACAACUUUAAAGCUAAAUUAACUGUGUUCCUCUAUGUUCGAGCAUACAGGUCAAACUGUUUCACUCAAUGAACCUACUUAAAAAAUUAAUCCCAGUUUUACAGGGUUCAUCUUCUUUCUGGUGCUGAUUGGUGGGUGUUUGGGUGCCUCCAGAGAAUCAGGAAGGAGAAAGCUCAGGUGGGUCUCUGACCAGACCUGUUUGUUUUGUACUGAUGGUACAAAAGUCAGUGCUUGGGACCUUGCCCUGCAAAUGCAAACAGGGGUGCUCUCUUCCUCCUUCACCCUCCUGUCUUACCCAGGUGGCUGCUAUGCAUGGAAUACAAGUUUUUCUUUUUAUAUGGUCUUGGAGGAGGAGGUUGAACGUGAAAUCAAGGAGCUUUAUCUGAUUGUCUGACCUUGUUUCUGUAUGAGUAGCUAAGUGUUGAGCUAGGCUAUUAGUUCUCCCUUCUGCAUCUUGCUCCUAGAAGACAGAUGAUGUUAUGAGUGCUGUUUGGACAAGAAAUGUGGAGAACGUGGAGGUCAGAGACCUUACCGUUGUGUUCAAGAUCCCACAGAAACGGUUUGAGAGGUCCAAGGCUCCUUUCAGGACUCCUGUGGGUCAGCCGAGUGGGCUGUUUCCAGAUCGUGGUGGGUAACAGCACAUGAGCUGUGUCAGCUCCAAGAGAGGGGCUGUGGGAGGAGAGAAGUAUGCUGUCAGGAAAUAGUUUUAUACCUUGAUAUUUUCUUUUCAGAGAAAAUCCUAGCCCACCCUCAGAAAAGAAAACGUACGAUGUGUUCUCUUCCACGCUGUGAAACUCCCUUCCGUUUAUAAAAAUAAAGGGAACUUCUUGCUUAACACCAUUAUUGAUAUGAACCGACCUGGAUAAUGGAUCCAGAGCUGGGGUUUUGAGUACUGUGUGCUUACAAAAUGGUCUCGAGGCUUUUUUCUCCUGUGUCCUGCUCCCCUGGAAUGCAUGUUGUCCACUUGCCCUCAGAAUGAUGUAGCUGCCUUCAGACUUGGGACCCUCUUGUAGAAUCCAUCAGGUGGAGAAGGCAGGUGACAUGGGCGUGUUGGAAGGAAGAGAACUCUGGAUGUGGCUGAGAGGAGGCUGGAACGAAAAGAAGGAUGAGGGGGACACAGUGAUGAGGAAUCUUUGGCCAGGGCAGGGAGCAGGAGAGGGAACUACGUCUGGGAACUGUUGUAGUGCCUUUCAGCAAAAGCUUUGAGAUGAGAAACAACCACAGGAUUGAGAACCAGCGUAUUUGUUGAGAGGCAGAAGAUUUUUGUCCUACCUUAUGUGGAAGUAAUUUCCUAGGAACUCUCUUUAGGUCCACUUCCUCUGCUCCAGCCUCCACCUCCCAGCACAUUGCUCCUCCAGCUUGGCCUCCUCACAGUGCAUCCCCCUGUAGGAGGACAGCUUUUCCACUCAGUGGUGAUUGGCCUCUGUGCUGGCUAGAACCGGAAGGUUCAUUUCUAAGUCUCUUAUCUCCAGAAGCAAGGCAGCAGAGCUCCCUAGCCAAAACUUUCUCUGCAUGCUCGCACACCACUGGCAGUCAAACCGGGGUUUUAAAACCAGACAGCAGCUGUUUUCCACAGUUGUCCAUAUUUUCAGGUGUAAGGAAAAGGUGCCUUUCUCUUCAAAAGUGAAAGAGCUUGUUGGCCUGACCACUGUGGUUGUUGAUAUGCCUCUUCAGCUAUGAGUCUUCGUCUUCCAGGGCAUGCUGAUCAUCUCGAACUCUUCCUAGUUGUCUCACUGGUGGUCAAAGAACCAACAGACAAGUGAUCUGCUGGACCUGACACUUAAAAAGGAAGAGCUGGUAGGUAGUGGGAAGAUCAGUAGUGUCCUUGGCUGCAGUAACCAUAAGAUGCUGUAGUUCAGAGUAUGUGUCAGAGGGGUCACUAUAGAGGUCAAUACUGUUUAACGUCUUCGUGAAUGACCUUAGUGAUGCAGUGGAGUGCACCCUCAGCAAGUCAGAAGAUGAUACAAAAUGUGGAGGAUUGGCUGGUGUACUGAAUAGUGAUGCCGUUGUUCAUAGAGACCUUGAAAAGCUGGAGAAAUGGGCUUAUGAGAACCUCAUGACGUUGAGCAAAGAGAAAUGGAGGCCCUGAACCUCGGUUUUGUUGGUGGCCAUCAGACUGGAAAGCAGUUCUGCAGAGAAGGACCUGGGGUCCUGGUUGACACCAAGUUGAACACGAGUCAGUAGUGUCCCUGCAGUACAGAAAGCCAACAGCAUCCAGGGCUGUAUUGCCAGCAGGUCAAGGGAGAUGAUCCUUUCUGCUCAGCACGUCUGGAGUGCAAUGUAUGGGAGCUUCCCAACAGAAGAACCUUGAAAUACAAAACCUGACUGGACAUAGUCCUGAACAACCUGCUUUACUUUGCCUUGCUUGAGCUGGGGGUUGGACUAGACAACAUCCAAAGGUGCCUUCCAACCUCAGCCACUCUGUGAGUCUGUGGGAUGCUGUUUGCCAGCUGUAAAGUGGGCUGGCGGUUGUUCUGGGCAGAAACAAGGGAUUGAACGCUCUUUAAAAUGAAUUUAAAUGAAGAUAGCGUCUGGUCUUAUGCUCCUGAUAAAGGUAGAGGCAAUUGUGAAAAUUCAUAUGUAGACUUGUGUGGUCUUUGGAUACUUCAGCAAGGAGGAAAAUACCUCCAAAUUGAGGGAAAAGGUCUCCAAGCACUUUGCACAGGCCCAGCCCAUGGUGAAAAUGCUGUUACCAUGGACUUCCACAUGUGAGUAGUUGUGGUAGCAAUGAGUAUUCUGCUUUCAUGAGCGUUUAGGUUAUAUAAGAGAGUAAGUCCAUUGAAUUUUCAACAAGACUUUGAGUCUUUGAGUCCCUUUUGCAAACUGGGUGCGUCUUCUAGGCUUGGGUAGCUUUGAAAACCCAUGAGGCGUGAUCAGUCCUCCAAACUUUACCGUGAAACUGCUUAAUGCUCUGAAACUGCUGUAAUGUUGGACUUGUUGUGCACACACCAGAAUUUUCAGCAACAGAUGAGAAAAAGAUAUAAAGUAAUUCCCCAUUUGGAUUUCCUGAAUACAGAAAUUCUGGAAUUUUAUGUAUGUAUAUAUAUGGCUGAAUUUUCGCCCAUGUAUUUUUUUGACAUUUGUAUUUCAGCAAAUAUAUUUGGACAUCCACUUGAAAUGCAUUUGUCUGUUUUAAUGUCUUGCAUAUUGAAGUGUUUCGACCCUCUAACUUUAACGUUCAGACAAUUUAACCAUUUUGGUGGGGUGUGUGUGACCAGUUGAGCACUGUUUGUUACUGACUUUAGGUAUCUUGGGAUGCUGGCAAAGCACUUGAAGGCUUGCAGGGCUCUGGACCUGUGUCGUCAGGUAUUUAUGGAUAACAGUGAAGCAAUAGGUCUUUAGGAAGUGGAGAGUUCUAUGUGGAUCAUGGUUGCAACUCCUGUCCCAAGGAGAGCUCAGCCGUGUACCCAGAGCUGAGCUUUGUUACUUCUAAGAUUGGCGCAGUCUGGAGAUGUGGGGAAUGGAGAUCCACUGUUUGGAGGUGCUGCAAAGCAGCCACAGAGCUGCCACUGCCAGUUGUCUUCUGCUGUGCGUGACUGCAAGUGCUCUUGGUCUGUGCCUUGCCAAAAAAAAAAGCCUGAUUGGGGCAGAAUUGAGGACUUGGGCAUUUUAUUGACAUGGGGAGACUCUUCCAUCUGUCCUUGUUGG